Molecule: unclassified non-coding RNA, 351 nt
Filed under: soil metagenome
Description: partial contains 5.8S ribosomal RNA, internal transcribed spacer 2, and large subunit ribosomal RNA
Rfam family: 5.8S ribosomal RNA (bases 1-120)
Source: RNAcentral
GAUGAAGAACGCAGCGAAAUGCGAUACGUAAUGUGAAUUGCAGAAUUCAGUGAAUCAUCGAAUCUUUGAACGCACAUGGCGCCUUCCAGUAUCCUGGGAGGCAUGCCUGUCCGAGCGUCGUUUCAACCCUCGAGCCCCCGUGGCCCGGCGUUGGGGAUCUGCCACGGCAGGCCCCUAAAACCAGUGGCGGACCCGAAGGCCCUCUCCUUUGCGCAGUAGCAUCAGCCUCGCAUUGGGAUCCCUCGGCGUCCUGCCUCUAAACCCCCCACAAGUCCGCUCCGGCGGCACCAAGGUUGACCUCGGAUCAGGUAGGAAUACCCGCUGAACUUAAGCAUAUCAAUAAGCGGAGGA